AUAUCAAUAAGCGGAGGAAAAGAAACCAACAGGGAUUGCCCUAGUAACGGCGAGUGAAGCGGCAACAGCUCAAAUUUGAAAUCUGGCGUCUUUGGCGUCCGAGUUGUAAUUUGCAGAGGGCGCUUUGGCAUUGGCAGCGGUCCAAGUUCCUUGGAACAGGACGUCACAGAGGGUGAGAAUCCCGUACGUGGUCGCUAGCCUUUACCGUGUAAAGCCCCUUCGACGAGUCGAGUUGUUUGGGAAUGCAGCUCUAAAUGGGAGGUAAAUUUCUUCUAAAGCUAAAUACUGGCCAGAGACCGAUAGCGCACAAGUAGAGUGAUCGAAAGAUGAAAAGCACUUUGGAAAGAGAGUUAAAAAGCACGUGAAAUUGUUGAAAGGGAAGCGCUUGCAGCCAGACUUGCCUGUAGUUGCUCAUCCGGGUUUCUACCCGGUGCACUCUUCUAUAGGCAGGCCAGCAUCAGUUUGGGCGGUUGGAUAAAGGUCUCUGUCAUGUACCUCCUCUCGGGGAGAACUUAUAGGGGAGACGACAUGCAACCAGCCUGGACUGAGGUCCGCGCAUCUGCUAGGAUGCUGGCGUAAUGGCUGUAAGCGGCCCGUCUUGAAACACGGACCAAGGAGUCUAACAUCUAUGCGAGUGUUUGGGUG
This 645-nucleotide ribosomal RNA is filed under the name Phoma sp. C2/21. Its description in RNAcentral is "LSU rRNA". It matches the Rfam family "Eukaryotic large subunit ribosomal RNA", at positions 40 to 700 of the family's 3401-position model. Lineage: Eukaryota; Fungi; Ascomycota; Dothideomycetes; Pleosporales; Didymellaceae. The record is from RNAcentral.